RNAcentral lists this ribosomal RNA (950 nucleotides) under uncultured bacterium. Its description in RNAcentral is "bacterial SSU rRNA". It matches the Rfam family "Bacterial small subunit ribosomal RNA", at positions 30 to 917 of the family's 1533-position model. The record is from RNAcentral.
CGAACGCUGGAACGGCGUGGAUAAGACAUGCAAGUCGGACGGGAUUACUUUUGGUAGCAAUACCGAGAGUGAUCCAGUGGCGAACGGGUGCGUAACACGUGGGCAAUCUGCCGAGAAGUGGGGGAUAGCUCGCCGAAAGGCGAAUUAAUACCGCAAAUGUGAUCAGAGGCGACAUCGCUUCGAAAUCAAAGGUGGCAAGCAAGCUACCGCUUUUUGAGGAGCCCGCGGCCAAUAUCAGCAUUGUUGGUGAGGUAACGGCUCACCAAGGAACGUUGACGGGUAGCUGGUCUGAGAGGACGACCAGUCAAACACUGGGACUGAGACACGGCCCAGACACCUAAAACGGGUGGCAGCAGUCGAGAAUUUUUCUCAAUGGGGGAAACCAACUGAAAGGAGCGACGCCGCGUGGAGGAUGAAGGUCUUCGGGUUGUAAACUCCUGUCAUUUGGGAACAAGUGCCAAGGUACAUAACUGCUACCGGCUUGAUAGUACCAGAAGAGGAAGAGACGGCUAACUCUGUGCCAGCAGCCGCGGAAUAAUACAGAGGUCUCAAGCGAAUAAUGUUCGGAUUCAUUGGGCGUAAAGGGUGCGUAGGUGGCGUGGUAAGUCGGGAUGUGAAAUUUCGGAGCUUAACUCCAAGAAACUGCAUUCGAUACUGCCGUGCUUGAGGACUGGAGAGGAGACUGGAAUUUACGGUGUAGCAGUGAAAUGCGUAGAGAUCGUAAGGAAGACCAGUGGCGAAGGCGGGUCUCUGGAACCCAGUAAUCCUGACACUGAGGCACGAAGGCCAGGGGAGCAAACGGGAUUAGAUACCCCGGUAGUCCUGGCAGUAAACCCGGUGCACGUUUGGUGUGGGAGGAUUCGACCCCUUCUGCGCCGGAGCUAACGCGUUAAACGUGCCGCCUGGGGAGACCUACGGUCGCAAGAUUAAAACUCAAAGAAAUUGACGGG